GAAGAGCUCACUCCCCUUAGUUUUUUCCAGGGAGUGAAACCAGGGUCAAUGGGAGGAAAUAACACAAGCAAUAAUGCCACGGAGGAUAGUGUUUAUCUGUUACUCUUGUGAGCCCACCACCAUCGUGGGGCCUACCUGCAUGUGUCCCCUUCCAGACUCAUGGAUAAUCACCGUGUCACUCAGUCUUGGCCCUAACUUCUCCUGCACAGCAAAGACUCCACAUCCAGAUCCCGAAGGCACCUGUGUUCUAACUCUUCAGGGAGGCCGGGAGAGGACUCGGUAUGUCCUUAACAGCUGCAUUAUCCCUCCCCACAUGCUCAGGAGGAGACGUCGGCUCUGAGCAAUUUACUACAUCUCCCAGACAGUCUACCAUCUUCAUAUUUUGAAAGGCUCAGUCCCCUCUAAACAAGACCUUCCAGACACUACUGCUUUCCUCAUUAAUUAUAAAAUUCCUGCAAAACACUUUUAUCUCUUCUUCUUUACAAAAUGCCCCCGAAUCCCACAGUCCUAGGGUACUGAUUUCCAAGCGGUAAACCAAGACCUAUUAGUCAACAGGAGGAAGAUUUAGUAGUUUGUAAC
Molecule: long non-coding RNA, 579 nt
Filed under: Vulpes vulpes (red fox)
Lineage: Eukaryota; Metazoa; Chordata; Mammalia; Carnivora; Canidae
Description: lncRNA (ENSVVUG00000008475.1)
Source: RNAcentral